AGGGGAAUAUUGCACAAUGGGCGCAAGCCUGAUGCAGCCAUGCCGCGUGUAUGAAGAAGGCCUUCGGGUUGUAAAGUACUUUCAGCGGGGAGGAAGGGAGUAAAGUUAAUACCUUUGCUCAUUGACGUUACCCGCAGAAGAAGCACCGGCUAACUCCGUGCCAGCAGCCGCGGUAAUACGGAGGGUGCAAGCGUUAAUCGGAAUUACUGGGCGUAAAGCGCACGCAGGCGGUUUGUUAAGUCAGAUGUGAAAUCCCCGGGCUCAACCUGGGAACUGCAUCUGAUACUGGCAAGCUUGAGUCUCGUAGAGGGGGGUAGAAUUCCAGGUGUAGCGGUGAAAUGCGUAGAGAUCUGGAGGAAUACCGGUGGCGAAGGCGGCCCCCUGGACGAAGACUGACGCUCAGGUGCGAAAGCGUGGGGAGCAAACAGG
This 429-nucleotide ribosomal RNA is filed under the name Chloroflexota bacterium. Its description in RNAcentral is "Chloroflexi bacterium partial 16S ribosomal RNA". It matches the Rfam family "Bacterial small subunit ribosomal RNA", at positions 355 to 776 of the family's 1533-position model. Lineage: Bacteria; Bacillati; Chloroflexota. The record is from RNAcentral.